RNAcentral lists this ribosomal RNA (742 nucleotides) under uncultured bacterium. Its description in RNAcentral is "bacterial SSU rRNA". It matches the Rfam family "Bacterial small subunit ribosomal RNA", at positions 8 to 796 of the family's 1533-position model. The record is from RNAcentral.
AGAGUUUGAUCCUGGCUCAGAACGAACGCUGGCGGCAUGCCUAACACAUGCAAGUCGAACGAGACCUUCGGGUCUAGUGGCGCACGGGUGCGUAACGCGUGGGAAUCUGCCCUUGGGUUCGGGAUAACAGUUGGAAACGACUGCUAAUACCGGAUGAUGACUUCGGUCCAAAGAUUUAUCGCCCAGGGAUGAGCCCGCGUAGGAUUAGCUAGUUGGUGAGGUAAAGGCUCACCAAGGCGACGAUCCUUAGCUGGUCUGAGAGGAUGAUCAGCCACACUGGGACUGAGACACGGCCCAGACUCCUACGGGAGGCAGCAGUGGGGAAUAUUGGACAAUGGGCGAAAGCCUGAUCCAGCAAUGCCGCGUGAGUGAUGAAGGCCUUAGGGUUGUAAAGCUCUUUUACCCGGGAUGAUAAUGACAGUACCGGGAGAAUAAGCCCCGGCUAACUCCGUGCCAGCAGCCGCGGUAAUACGGAGGGGGCUAGCGUUGUUCGGAAUUACUGGGCGUAAAGCGUACGUAGGCGGCUUUGUAAGUUAGAGGUGAAAGCCCGGAGCUCAACUCCGGAAUUGCCUUUAAGACUGCAUCGCUUGAAUCAUGGAGAGGUUAGUGGAAUUCCGAGUGUAGAGGUGAAAUUCGUAGAUAUUCGGAAGAACACCAGUGGCGAAGGCGACUAACUGGACAUGUAUUGACGCUGAGGUACGAAAGCGUGGGGAGCAAACAGGAUUAGAUACCCUAGUAGUCC